GGAAGUUUAAAUGGAGCAAAGUUACAAACAAUCAAACACACCCGGAAGAGGAUUCCAGACUUCUUCUUGCUGAAUGUGCUCGAUCUGUUCACCUUUGCUCACCGGAGGGGCGGGAACGUUCCCGACACAUGGAAGAGCAGCAGCUUUCCUGUCAAACAACGUGUGACUUCCUGUUAGAGCGGACGACGUCAGUCUGAAGUCGAGGUCUGGCGCCGCAGUGAGUGUGCGAGGCGUUUCAAAACUGCAGUCAUUCGAUGCAGGCAGGUAACACCCCCCACCCCCCACUCCUUUCCUGUCUUUGCACCUCAGAUAACAGAGAGGAUGACUCCACAAGAGACUGUCAGUGUCAAACCGUCUUGUUUUUGUAACAAAACCCUCAAGAAAAAAUACACAGAACAACAGGUAACUUCUGACAUUAAUGUCAAUUUUACAGUCAUAUACAAAUAAAGCAGAAAAGGAUUUUAAAAACUAUUAAAGCACAAGAUUUUUAAUCCAGUUUGCUUGAUCAGGUCAUCUUUUCAUACAUGUAGCUAAAGGCCUCUUUGCUGUGCGAUCUUCUGCAUUCUGACGUCUUCACACGUCCGGCCGGUCUACACCUCUGUAAACAAACAAACACCAGCAGUUAAAAACAUUUUUGCUUCAUUGAUGACUUCUAGUCACAGAAAAAGUACCGCCACCACAGCAUUAGCCUCCAGCUGUGACAUCACUUUGAGGAAUGGGUUUAACACCUUCAUCGCCCACUUUCCACUUCAGUCAGCAUGAGGCGGUAAAGCAGCCCGAGCACAUCUGAGGAGGAGUUAUUAUUAGGUGGUUGACUGUCUGGUCUCUGUUUGAGACAGAAACCUGAAGGAGUUACUGUCCGUCUCUCUAAAAUCGCCUAAACAAACGGUGAAAUCAUCCAGACAGAUGUUAGAAGCUACUCUGUAAUGCUGUUGAAGAGAUGCCUGUGGUCACCUGUUGAGCAAAAGACCACGCCCCCUUUGUACACAAAUCUGUCUUAAUCCAAGUCCCACGGAGUCAAAACAAACCAUGAAAUGAAAAAGAUACCAUGUGUGCUGUGAUUUAUCACUCUUUGCAGUUUGGUAACAGUGAGAUGGAGUGAAGUUCCAUCCAUCCAUCAGUCUA
Long non-coding RNA from Oryzias melastigma (Indian medaka), 1125 nucleotides. RefSeq lists it as uncharacterized. The transcript has 3 exons. Lineage: Eukaryota; Metazoa; Chordata; Actinopteri; Beloniformes; Adrianichthyidae. The record is from RefSeq and is a predicted model, not a curated record.